This 497-nucleotide ribosomal RNA is filed under the name uncultured bacterium. RNAcentral describes it as "partial 16S ribosomal RNA". It matches the Rfam family "Bacterial small subunit ribosomal RNA", at positions 28 to 507 of the family's 1533-position model. The record is from RNAcentral.
GAUGAACGCUGGCGGCGUGCCUAAUACAUGCAAGUCGAGCGAACAGACGAGGAGCUUGCUCCUCUGACGUUAGCGGCGGACGGGUGAGUAACACGUGGAUAACCUACCUAUAAGACUGGGAUAACUUCGGGAAACCGGAGCUAAUACCGGAUAAUAUAUUGAACCGCAUGGUUCAAUAGUGAAAGACGGUUUUGCUGUCACUUAUAGAUGGAUCCGCGCCGCAUUAGCUAGUUGGUAAGGUAACGGCUUACCAAGGCGACGAUGCGUAGCCGACCUGAGAGGGUGAUCGGCCACACUGGAACUGAGACACGGUCCAAACUCCUACGGGAGGCAGCAGUAGGGAAUCUUCCGAAAUGGGCGAAAGCCUGACGGAGCAACGCCGCGUGAGUGAUGAAGGUCUUCGGAUCGUAAAACUCUGUUAUUAGGGAAGAACAAAUGUGUAAGUAACUAUGCACGUCUUGACGGUACCUAAUCAGAAAGCCACGGCUAACUACGUG